CCCGGCCCCAAAUCAGGCUGUGUGGGGUGUGUAUGGGGUGGGAGGGGAUGAGGGGGAGAGCUGUGGGUCCUGCAUCCUGCCCCUGCCUCCAUGUCAUGGUCCCUGCAUGCCAUUGGGUGCCUGUCACCGGAUUGUCCCCACGCGGGGUGGCACGGGGCGUUGUGGCAGGUCCUGGGCUGGUUCUGGGGCAGGAGGGCUCUGGGCAAGGCUCUCCUUUAGCCAUGCCGCCACCACCCACCCUAUAACCAGCUGCCAGGGUGAGGGACGUGCCCCAGAUGUCCCCGUGUCCUACUGCAUUGAUGUCCACCAGAUGUGGGCCACCGAAAGUCCUCCUGGUCUGACCCAGGCUCUGCAAAGCCAGUUCCACUUGUGGUGACACCAAGUCCCUUGGAGCUAGGAUUCACCUCCUGGCAUCACUGGAGACCUGAGAUGAAGCCUCCAAACUUGUUUCACCUCAAAGUUGAAAGCACGGAGAUGAAAUGAUCCAAUUCCUCCAGCGUGCUACCUGUUAGAAACUUUCAUUUAGGCUGGAAUCCACUGGAUCUUCCACCCUGGCACAACACC
Cygnus olor (mute swan) is the source of this 564-nucleotide long non-coding RNA. RefSeq lists it as uncharacterized. The transcript is spliced from 4 exons. The record is from RefSeq and is a predicted model, not a curated record. NCBI's taxonomy places the organism in Eukaryota, Metazoa, Chordata, Aves, Anseriformes, Anatidae.